This 524-nucleotide ribosomal RNA is filed under the name uncultured bacterium. Its description in RNAcentral is "partial 16S ribosomal RNA". It matches the Rfam family "Bacterial small subunit ribosomal RNA", at positions 28 to 523 of the family's 1533-position model. The record is from RNAcentral.
GACGAACGCUGGCGGCGUGCCUAAUACAUGCAAGUCGAGCACAGGAAACUGACGGAACUCUUCGGAGGGAAGGCAGUGGAAUGAGCGGCGGACGGGUGAGUAACACGUAAGGAACCUGCCUCAAGGAUUGGGAUAACUCCGAGAAAUCGGAGCUAAUACCGGAUAGUUCAACGGACCGCAUGGUCCGCUGAUGAAAGGCGCUUCGGCGUCACCUUGAGAUGGCCUUGCGGUGCAUUAGCUAGUUGGUGGGGUAACGGCCCACCAAGGCGACGGUGCAUAGCCGACCGGAGAGGGUGAUCGGCCACACUGGGACUGAGACACGGCCCAGACUCCUACGGGAGGCAGCAGCAGGGAAUCUUCCACAAUGGACGAAAGUCUGAUGGAGCAACGCCGCGUGAGUGAUGAAGGUUUUCGGAUCGUAAAACUCUGUUGUAAGGGAAGAACACGUACGAGAGGAAAUGCUCGUACCUUGACGGUACCUUACGAGAAAGCCACGGCUAACUACGUGCCAGCCGCCGCAGUAA